Molecule: transfer RNA, 100 nt
Filed under: Deltaproteobacteria bacterium
Lineage: Bacteria; Pseudomonadati; Myxococcota; Myxococcia
Description: tRNA-Sec
Rfam family: Selenocysteine transfer RNA
Source: RNAcentral
GGAAGCGCUCGCUAGUCUGGUGACGGCCGCGGUCUUCAAAACCGUUGGGACAGGCUGAGAGGCCGAGUCCGGCGAGUUCGAUUCUCGUGCGCUUCCGCCA